This 12309-nucleotide long non-coding RNA is filed under the name Homo sapiens (human). RNAcentral describes it as "non-protein coding lnc-ESR2-3:7". The record is from RNAcentral. Lineage: Eukaryota; Metazoa; Chordata; Mammalia; Primates; Hominidae.
GCAGUUCGGAAGGACCCGAGUCCCUUAACUAACCGAGAGCUAACAGGUCGGGGACUGCGGGACGGAAGAGGGAGGGGAAGAUGAAGAAAAUCGGUGAUGAAUGGCUGGCGGAAAUGAUUGGCGGAAAGAAAGAGCCAGUUCACAGUGCGCCUUUGUAUUCGGCGGGAAACCCGGCCGAAGAGGGAGCUGGAAAGGACUCCGGAAUCCGGCCGUAAUUCCAGCCAAUCAGGGAGUAGAGUUGCGGGGCGGGGUUGGGGCGGGGCAGUCUCGCGGGAGAUAGUUUCGCGGGUUCGGGAGGCGAGUCUCCGGUUUCCGCCCAGUCUCUGGGGACGCGGUGGCGGGGUCUGAAUCGCCUGGCUUCCAGGGAGUUUUGGGCGGGUCCCCGCACGGGAGCGUGGCAGGCGCUGGACUCGACAGCAGAUGUGGAACUGGAGAGCUUGGCGCGCCCUCAUACUUUGUCACACACCUACGCCACCAGACUGGGGUCGGGCCCCUCCGCGUUCUGCUCUGGAGGGCCUGGGUCUGGGCCCAGCAUAGCGCUUUUAGAAUCUCCUCAGCUGAAUCUGACGCUCAGCCGUAGGUGAAGCUUAGCCCGCUGUUUCAGGCCCCGCCGAUCUGGAAGGAGUGUCAGAGCUGGAGCGCGCGUGGCCUCAUCGGUGUUGGGGUCACCCCGGGGUUGCCAGGGCUCAUGGAGGGUCGUAGUCUGGAUUUUGUCACCCCCACGUCCCCGCCCCGCAGCAAGUCUGGGGUUGGAGAACUCACGCGGUCUUCGUAAGCUACAUGCCAGUUGACCCUCGAGGAGGGAUGCUCCCUCCCCUUAAGCGUCCACGCUGGAGAAGGAGUAAGAUGGACAAUUGCCUGGGGAGCCUGACAGGGCGGUGGCAGCUGGGAUGCUGGAGAGGACUGGCCCCUUGUGUUACUGAGUCCAAGGAAUAUGCUUGCUCUGCUCUAGGAACCGCGUUCAGGUUACAGUCAUCCCAGUAGAGUCCUGAAGAUGCGUGGUUCAGGUCACUUAGGACUUGACCAGAUACCGGGUUUCUUUUACAAGCCGUUUACUACUGGCAGAGCUCAUCUAAAACUUUUUUUGUUUGUUUGUUUGAGACGGAGUCUCAUUCUGUCGCCCAGGCUGGAGUGCAGUGGCACGAUUUUGGCUCACUGCAACCUCCGCUUCCCGGGUUCAAGCAGUUCUCUGCCUCAGCCUCCCGAGUAGCUGGGAUUACAGGCACCACCUAAUUAGCCCGCCACCACGCCCGGCUAAUUUUUGUAUUUUUAGUAGAGACGGGGUUUCACCAUCUUGGCUAGGCUGGUCUUGAACUCCUGACCUCGUGAUCCACCCGCCUCGGCCUCCCAGAGUGCUGGGAUUACAGGCGUGAGCCACCGCACCUGGCCUAAAACUGAUUUUUUAUUAAUUUUGGGGCUUUUAAUAUUUUUUUCUUAUUUCUAAAUUCUGAGGUUAUUUAUAGUAGCCCCAUAUACGGGAUUAGAUAAUCUCUUGUGAUUUUCUAUUUCUGGUAAUUAUUUCUAAUAUAUGUUUUUUUGUUUUUGAGACGGAGUCUCGCUAUGUCGCUCAGGGUGGAGUGCAGUGGCAUGAUCUCCGCUCUUUGUAGCCUCUGCCUCCCGGGUUCAAAUGAUCCUCCCACCUCAGCCCCCCGAGUAGCUUGGACCACAGGUGCAUGCCACCACGCCGGCUAAUUUUUCUAUUUUUGGUAGAGUUGGGGUUUCACUAUGUUGACCAGACUGGUCUAGAUCUCAAGGGAUUAGUCUCCCUUGGCCUCCCAAAAUGCUGGGAUAAUGGGCAUGAGCCACCGUGCGUGGCCUUAAAGUUACUAUUCUUAAAGUUUGCACAAGUGAUAUGUUAAAGGCACAGACUUAGUAAUAUAAUGUCAUUAUAAUAAUAACCCUAAAACACAUUGUCUCAUAUUGUGUUGUACCUAAACAAGUGAAAUUAAGAAGAAAAUUGAAGGAAAUGUUUCUGGUAAAUUGCAGAUAGUGAAUCUUUUGUCUUAUACUAUCAAAUAGGUAUUGACUAUUCCAGCUUUCUUAUUUGUUGAGGAAGAUGGCAGAAAUCCCGUUUUACAGAGGGAUAGACUUUGAAGGAUAAUACCCAAAGCUGCAUAGCUGUGGCUGGUAUAGGCCCCAAACCUGAUGUUUCUUCUCUAAAUCUACUGCCUUUGCCAUCUCAACAGCCUGGUUUUUGACAGUUAUCUAUGUAUGAGUUGCAUAAAUCGUUCAUUCAUGGAGCAAAUAAUUAUUGAGUGGCCACUAUGCCAACAGCACUGCUAUAGAUGCUAGAGAUACCCUAGUGAACCAGCAAAGUUUCUGCUCUCAGCUCAUAUUCUGGUGGAGGAGACAACGAUCAAGUUAAAGAAAUACAUAGGCUAAUUUUAGAGAUUAUGACAUGCUAUAUUUUAAAAAUAGGCAAGCUAAGAGGAUAGGCAGUGAUGCUGGGAGGUGGGAAAGUUUUGUCUCAGAAAUGUGGUAAGAGAUUUCUUUGGGCAUCUGACUUCAGCAGAAACCUUAAUGAAGAGAGGAACUUGGAAUGUAAAAGAAAGAAAGCAGGGAUUUGCUCUGAGCAACUGGAAAGAUGGAAUUGCCAUUCGCUGAGUUGAAAUAAAGUAAAAUGUAGGACUAGGUUUUGGGGUUAAGAUUAUGAAUUCGGCUUUAGACAUUUUUAGAUUUCUCUUAGACAUCCAAAUGGAGAGAAGAUAUUUAAAUCCAUGGGAUUGAAUGAGAUCCAACCAAGGGUAUUGUAGGUAGAGAGAGGACCAAAGACUGACACCUAGAACCUUUCAGUGUUCAGAAUGCAAGGAGACAGGAGGAACCAAGAGGGAAGAUUGAAAAGGAGAGUCCAGCUGGGAGCUGUGGCUACACCUUUACUAAUCCCAGCACUUUGGGAGACCAAAUACAGGAAGAUCACUUGAAUCCAGGAGUUUGUAGAACAGCCUUAGCAACAUAGCAAGACCCUGUCUCUACAAAAAUAAAAAUUAAAAAAUUUGCCUGUAAUCCGAGCAUUUUGGAGGCCGAGGUGGGUGGAUCAGCUGAGGUCAGGAGUUUGAGACCAACUUGGCCAACACAGUGAAACCCCGUCUCUACUAAAAAUACAAAAAUUAGCUGGGCGUGAUGGCUGGCACCUGUAAUCCCAGCUACUCGGGAGGCCGAGGCAGGAGAAUCCCUUGAACCUAGGAGGCAGAGGUUGCAGUGAGCCGAGAUCACGCCACUGCACUCCAGCCUGGGAGACAGAGCGAGACUCCAUCUCAAAAUAAAUAAAUAAAUAAAAAUUUAAAAAGUUAGCUGGGCGUGGUGGCAUGUACCUGUAGUCCCAGUUACUCAGAAGGCUGAGGUGGGAGGAUCCUGUGAGCCUAGGAGUUGGAAACUUCAGUAAGCUAUAAUCAUCACACUGCACUCCAACCUAGGCAACAGAGCAAGACCCUGUCUCUUAAAAGGAAAGGAGAGUCCAGUGUGUUCUAAGGAAAACCCCAAGAGCAUCCCACCUUAGAAUACAAGUGAGGAGGCCUGGCAUGGUGUCUCAUGCCUGUAAUCCCAGCACUUUGGGAGGCCAAGGCUGGUGGAUCAACUGAGGUCAGGAGUUCAAGACCAACCUGGCUAACAUGGCGAAACCCCAUCUCUACUAAAAAUACAAAAAUUAGCUGGGCGUGGUGGCCAGCCCCUGUAAUCCCAGCUACUCGGGAGGCUGAGGCAGGAGGAUAGCUUAAACCCAGGAGACGAAGGUUGCAGUGAGCCAAGAUUACACCAUUGCACUCCAGCCUGAGCAACAAAAGCGAAACUCCAUCUCAAAAAAACAAAAACUAAAACUAAACAAAACAAAAAAACCAUGUGUAAAACUGUUAAUCACAACACUGAUUUCAAUAGCAAAAAACAAAAUUUCUGUCAGGAUGGAUGCAGUUGUUAAAGGAACAGCAGAUACAUAUGUAUAGACAUGUAAGAUAGCUUUCAUACUUUUUUUUUUGAGAUGGAAUUUCGUUCUUGUCACCCAGGCUGGAAUGCAAUGGUGAGAUCUAGGCUCCGCUUCUCAGGUUCAAGUGAUUCUCCUGCCUCAGCCUCCUGAGUAAGCUGGGAAUACAGGCGCCCGCCACCACGCCCAGGUAAUUUUUGUAUGUUUAGUAGAGACAGGGUUUCGCCAUAUUGGCGAGGCUUGUCUCAAACUCCUGACCUCAGGUGAUCCACCCACCUCCAAAAGUGUUGGGAUUACAGGCAUCACCCACCACGCGUGACCAGCUUUUAUACAUUUUUAAAUGAUAAAGACAGGUUAAUAAAAUGUAUAAUAUUAUGUUGCUAUAUCCAAAAAAAGGCCUUCUUUGAUUACACUAUCAAAAGUUACCUCUCCAUCUACAUCCCCAUUACUAUCUCAUUAACCUGUUUUAUUCAUAGCACUUACUACCAUCUAAAAUGACUUUAUUUCUUUAUAUUUUUGUUUGCUACCUGUCUUUUACACCAGAAUUUAAUUUUUAAGCUUUUUUUGUUUGUUUGUUUGUUUGUUUUGAGAUGGAGUCUUGCUCUGUUGCCCAGACUGGAGUGCAGUGGUGCGAUCUCAGCUCACUGCAACCUCUGCCUCCUGGGUUCAAUCAAUCCUCCUGCCUCAGCCUCCCAAGUAGCUGGGAUUACAGGCAUGUGCCACCAUGCCCAGCUAAUUUUUGCAUUUUUAGUACAGCAGGGUUUCACCAUGUUGGUCAAGCUGGUCUCAAACUCCUGACCUCAGGAGAUCCGUCAGCCUUGGCCUCCCAAAGUGUUGGGAUUACAGGCGUGAGCCACAGCACCCAGCCAGAAUUUAAACUUUAUAAGAGAUUUCCUGUCUUGUUCAUACUUAUAUACCUGCAGCUUCGAAACAUAUAUAUAUGUUUAAUAUAUAUAAUAGAUAUAUUUUAAAUUAUAUAUAGAGAGAUGGAGUUUCACUCUUGUUGCCCAGACUGGAGUGCAAUGGCGUGAUCUCGGCUCACCACAACCUCUGCCCCCCGGGUUCAAGCAAUUCUCCUGCCUCAGCCUCCAGAGUAGUUGGAAUUACAGGCACGUGCCACCAUGCCUGGCUAAUUUUGUAUUUUUAGUAGAGACAGAGUUUCUCCAUGUUGGUCAGGCUGGUCUCGAGCUCUUGACCUCAGGUAGUCUGCCUGCCUCGGCCUCACAAAGUGCUGGGAUUACAAGCAUGAGUCACUGUGCCCUGCCAGAAUUUAAGCUUUAUAAGAGAUUUCCUGUCUGUUUAUACUUAAAUACCUGCAGCUUGGAAACAUAUAUAUGUUUAUAUGUAUAUAUUACAUACAUUAUAUAUAUAUUUUUAUAUAUUAUAAUUAUAAACUCCUGACCUCAGGUGAUCCACCUGCCUCAGUCUCUCAAAUGCUGGGAUUACAGGCGUGAGCCACCACGCCAGGCCAGAAACAUAUUUUUAAAAAUCUUGUUUUAGAGGAAAAACAGAGUAUUUCUUUUUUUUUUUUUAUUAGAUGGAUUCUCACUCUAUUGCCCAGGCUGGAGUACAGUGGCACAAUCUUGGCUCACCGCAACCUCAGCCUCCCGGGUUCAAGCAAUUCUCCUGCCUCAGCCUCCCGAGUAGUUGGAACUAUAGGCGUGAGCCACCAUGCCCUGCUAAUUUUUGUAUUUUUAGUGCAGAUGGGGUUUCACUAUGUUGGCCAGGCUGGUCUCGAACUCCUGACCUUGUGAUCUGCCCACCUCGGCCUCCCAAAGUGCUGGGAUUACAGGUGUGAGCCACUGCGCCCGGCCUAUUUCUUCUUCUCUUUGUUUAGUUAUUAUCUAUUACUCUCAUUCCUAUGAACAUAACUUGUUUCUCCCCACUUAAUUUUUAUCAUACAUAAUUGUAGACAGUGGGCACUGUCUUCAAUUAUAGUGAAUUUAGCAGUAAAUUCACAUUAGACCAACUUGUAUAGCUUUAAAAAAUAUAUUUAUGUCUAGGUUCCACCCUUGACCAACUAAGUCAGAACUUGGGUGGGUUCAAGGUUCAUUAUUCUUUGAAGAUAAGAUGAUGUUUGAAUAAAAUUCCUGGUGAUUCUGGUAUCAAAAAUACAAAUUUGGGACAUACUUUUUCUGCUGUAAAAAUAUUUUCCUAAGGCCAGGCGCAGUGGCUCACGCCUGUAAUCCUAGCACUUUGGGAGACGGAGGCGGCGGAUCACUUGAGGCCAGGAGUUCAAGACCAGUCUGGCCAACAUGGUGAAACCCAGUCUCUACUAAAAAUAGAAAAAAUUAGCCAGGCAUGGUGGCACGUGCCUGUAGUCCCAGCUACUCAAGAGGCUGAGGCAGGAGAAUCCUUUGAACCCGGGAGGCAGAGGUUGCAGUGAGCCGAUAUUGCAGCACUGCACUCCAGCCUGGGUGACAGAUCAAAACUCUGUCUCAGAAAAAAAAAAAAAAAAAAAAAGAAUUUCCUAGAAUUAGAAUCGCAGGGGUUUUUUUUGUUUUGUUUGUUUGUUUGUUUGUUUGUUUUUGAGACAGAGUUUCACUCCUGUCGCCCAGGCUGGAGUGCAAUGCCAUGAUCUCGGCUCAUUGCAACCUCUGCCUCCUGAGUUCAAGCAAUCCUCCUGCCUCAGCCUCCCGAAUAGCUGGGAUUACAGGCACCUGCCACCAUGCCCAGCUAAUUUUUGUAUUUUUAGUAGAGACUGGGUUUUACCAUGUUGGCCAAGCUGGUCUCGAACUCCUGACGUCAGGUGAUCCACCCAGCUCAUUCUCCCAAAGUGCUGGAAUUACAAGCAUGAGCCACUGCACUCGGCCUUUAUUUAUUUAUUUAUUUUUGAGAUGAAGUCUUGCUCUGUUGCCCAAGCUGGAGUGCAAUGGCAUGAUCUCGGCUCACUGCAACCUCCACCUCCCAGGUUCAAGCAAUUCUCCUGCCUCAGCCCCCUGAGUAGCUGGGAUUACAGGCGUGCACCACCACGCCUGGCUAAUUUUUGUAUUUUUAGUAGAGACAGGGUUUCACUAUGUUGGUCAGGUUAGUCUCGAGCUCCUGACUUCGUGAUCCGCCCGCCUCAGCCUUCCAAAGUGUUGGGAUUACAGGCGUGAGCCACCGCGCCUGGCCAGAAUCCCAGUUUUUUAACACAUCUAAUGCUUUAGGAAUAGUAAAUGGAAACAUCAUUUCCCCUUCUUUCGAAGUACUUCUACCUUGAUGAGAUGUAUGUAUUGGAGUACAAUAUUUGACCUAGCCAAGAAUUUCACAAAAGAAGCCCAAAAUAUGAUUUUCACGUUUACUGGACUGUUCACUUUUGGUGGGAUCACUUUCUUAAGAUUACUUAAAGUACUAAUGCUUGAUGAAAAUCAUUUGUGUUUUCACUUCAUUAAUUGGAGAAAGAGCUACAUGUUUUUGUUGUUGUUGUUGUUGUUUUGAGAUGGUGUCUUGCUCUGUCUCCCAGGCUGGAGUGCAAUGGCGUGAUCUCAGCUCACUGCAACCUCCGCCUCCCGGGUUCAAGCGAUUCUCCUGCCUCAGCCUCCUGAGUAGCUGGGACUACAGGCGCCUGCCACCACGCCCAGCUAAUUUUUAUACUUUUAAUAGAGACAGGGUUUCACCAUAUUGGCCAGGAUGGUCUCAAUCUCUUGACCUUGUGAUCCACCCGCCUUGGCCUCCCAAAGUGCUGGGAUUACAGGCGUGAGCCACUGCGCCCAGCCAGAGCUACAGGUUUUACUGUAACACUUUAGAAGGUCCUUUUUCUUUGUACCUCUGUGAUGUGUUCACCUAGCAACAGCUUCUUUGAUAUGCAAACAUUCUACAGGCAAAUUGCUCAGAGCAGCUACUCAUGUUGGACAAUUCAGGUCUCUUCUGGAAACUGGCCUUGUAUUUGGAAUUUUCUCCAGAGUCUGAUGUGGUAAAAAUUUAUACUUUUCACUUCUUACUAAAUGCAGCAUAGCAUACUACAUCUUUUGAGUGUGUAAAAAAUAAAGUAGUCAUGUACAAACCUAAAAUCACAGAAUAAUCAUGUAACGGUGCUAUAUUUUAUUUUUACUUUAGAUUCCUAAUACAUUUUUAUUGUAUCUUUAUAAGGUUAGUUUGGGAGAAUAGCACUAUCAUCAUCUAUAUUAGUUAACUUUGCAUUAAGGUUUUUCAUUAAGGUUUUUCCCCUGUUUGGUUCUUUCAUUUUACGAUCCAUAUUUUUUGUGCCUGGUAUGGGAUGAUAAAGAUAACAGAAAUAGCUCCUGUUUUUAGGUACCUUUAUUUGUUUGUUUGUUUGGAGACAGGGUCUUACUCUGUCACCCAGGCUGGUGGCACAAUCAUAGCUUACUACAGACUAACUCCUGGCUCAAGCCAUCCUCCACCUCAGCCUCCCAAGUAACUGAGAUUACAGGUGCACACCACCACCUCUGGCUAAUUAUUAAAAUUUUCAUAGAGACAGGAUCUCACUUGGUUGGCCAGACUGAUCUCAAACUCCUGGUCUCAAGUGAUCCUCCCACCCCAGCCUCCUGAAGUACUAGGAUUGCAGGCAUGAACCACUGCCCUGGCCUAGAUACAUUUAAUGUAGUAGAGGAGAUGAGAUUUUUACAUAGUAUAAUAUUGAAUGAGACAACAGUCAAAAGAAAAUCACAUACUAUAAGAGAAGAGAUUACCCUUACCUUUUAGGAAUCAAGAAAACUCCCUGGAGGAGAUGGUACUUGAACUUAUACUGGAGGAUUUAUAUGUUCAUCCUUCUUGGUUUAUAUUUUGUCCCACACGGUAGCUUGUUUCUUUUUUCUUUUUUUUCUUUUUCUUUUUUUUUUUUUGAGGCAGAGUUUUGCUCUGUUGCCCAGGCUAGAGUGCAGUGGCGCGAUCUCGGCUCACUGCAACCUCCACCUCCUGGGUUCAAGCGAUUCUCCUGCCUCAGCCUCCCUAGUAGCUUGUUUCUUAGAGACAGUGUGAGUGAAACUCAUUAAGUAAAGUCAAUACAGCACAAGUUUCAUAAAAUGGUAAAGAAAUAGAAAUAAAAGUAAAGGAUGAAAUUCUUAAGAACUUUGUCAGGCCAGGCGUGGUGGCUCAUGCCUGUAAUCCCAGCACUUUGGGAGGCCGAGGUGGGUGGAUCACCUGAGGUCAGGAGUUUGAGACCAGCCUGGCCAACAUGGCAAAACCCUGUCUCUCUAAAAAUACAAAAAUUAGCUGGGCAUGCUGGCGGGUGCCUAUAAUCCCAGCUACUCGGGAGGCUGAGGCAGGAGAAUCGCUUGAACCCAGGAGGCGGAGGUUGCAGUGAGCCGAGAUCACAUCAUUCCACUCCAGCCUGGGUGCCAAGAGCAAAAAACUCCAUCUUGAAAAAUAAAGAACUUUGUCUCCAGUAUCAUUCUUGUUCUAGGACUGAGAAACAGUUCAUUCUUCAUUUUCGUCUACUAAAAUUUAAGUUCUUUGAUUUUCUUCUUUAGGUCUUGGAAAAAGAAUUAAUAGAGUAAUUUUCUUAGGUAUCAAGUAAUGAAAAUGAGAAAAGAGACUAGUCUCAUUAUAGAUUUUUUUUUUUAUUCUUAUUUUAUUUUAUUUGAGACAAGGUCUCGCUCUGUCACCCAGGCUGGAGUGUAGUGGCUCCAUUAUGGUUCCCUGCAGCCUUGAACUCAGGGGCCCAAGCAAUCCUCCCACCUCAGCAUCCCGAGCAGCUGGGACUACAGGUGCAUGCCACCAUGCCUGGCUAAUUUUUGUGCUUUUUCGUGUAUAAAGAUGAGAUUUCGCCAUGUUGCCCAGGCUGGUCUCAAACUCCUGGGCUCAAGAGAUCUGUCCACCUCAGCCUCCUAAAGCGCUGAGAUUACAGGCAUGAGCCACCACGUCCAGCCUAGAGAUAUUUAUACUUUAAUAGCUGCCUGCAAUACCAAUACACCUAGAAUGAAUUAGAAGAAUUUGAAAACAGAUUUCAGGAUUAGUAAAAGAAAGUCAAGCCCUAUGCCUCCUGUUCUACAUUCCUCAAAUCACAUAAUCCUGAUUUUUUCCUCUUCGUAUGAAAAUUCCUCUCAUUUUGGGCCUGUUUGAUUUUUUGGGAGACACCACCCAGCAGAAACACACCGCACUUACAUGCAACCCCUCCAUUGCACAGUUUCUAAAUGCCCCCCCGCUUUUUUUUCCAUUCUCUGAUCCUAAAAAAAGAAAUCCAGUGGCACAAUCACGGAUCUCUGCAGCCUUGAUCUCUUAGCCUCAAGUGAUUCUCCUGCCUCAGCUUCCUGAGUAGCUGGGACCACAGGUGCUUGCCACCAUGCCCAGCUAUUUUUUUUUCUUUGUUUUUUUGUAAAGAUGUGUCUCACUAUCUUGCCCAGGCUGAUAUUGAAUUCCUGGGCUCAAGUGAUCCUCCUACCUUGGCCUCCCAAAGUGCUGGGAUUUUAUAUAUAUAUAUAUAUAUAUAUAUAUAUAUAUAUAUAUUUCCAUUUUACUUAUGUUAAUGCUUUCCCUCUUUUGGCAUAGAAAAGCUAAUAAAGCUUAAACUUAAAUGGAACUUGUAUAAACACAAUAUAUCUGAUGAUACCUUUGAGAGAUGUCUUACAUUUGUCUUUUCUUUCAGCAAAAUGUGAUGCCAGUCCCUGAAAUGUGUAGCAAUUUAAUUAUGGGUAGCAUUCUUCUUUCCCUGUACUUACUAUAGUAUUAACUUACUACUAAUGCUAAGAAGUUUAUAAUUUUUGAUAAUUCAGAUUUGGAUUAGAUUAAGAUUUAUGUCUAUGCAUAAUUCAUUAAAAACUUUUUAAACCAAAUUGUCAAAAAAGAUUGUAGGUACCUUGUUUAAAGAAAAUAUAUAAGCUAGUUUCAAGAAUUCCAAAAUAUUUUUUAAAAGCAGCUCUGUACAUGUCGAUAAAUUAUUUGCUCAUUGUAAUUUUUUGAAUCUGUUUGUCAAAGCAAAUGUAGACGGGCUCGAACUCCUGACCUCAAAUGAUCCACCCGCCUCAGUCUCCCAAAUGCUGGUAUUACAGGCAUGAGCCACUGCUCAUGGCCUGUUAUCAUUUUUAAUUGAAAAUUUUACUGAGAUAAUUGUAGAUUCACUUGCCAUUAUAAGAAAUAAUUCAGAGAUAUCACUUGUAUACUUAGCCCAGUGUCCCCCAAAGGUAAAAUUUUGCAAAAUUAUAGUCUAAUGUAACAGCGUGAAUAUUGACAUUAAUACAAUCCACUGAGUUUAUUCAGAUUUCCCCAGUUUUACUUGUAUUCAAUUGUGUGUUUGUGUAUUAAGUUCGAUAUAACUAGUCAAUAUACUGAACAGUUCUAACAUCACAAGUAUCCUUCAGGUAGCCCUUUUGUAUCCACAUCCACUUCCUUCUCAUCCCCAACUAUUGACAACCACUAAUCCCUUUUCCAUUUCUAAAAUGUGAUUUCAAAAAUGUUACAUACUUGGCUGGGGGCGGUGGCUCAUGCCUGUAAUCCCAGCACUUUGGAUAUACGGUCUCUACUAAAAAUACAAAAAUUAGCUGGGAGUGGUUGUGCACACCUGUAAUCCCAGGUGCUUGGGAAGCUGAGGCAGGAGAAUUGCUUGAACCCAGGAGGCAGAGCUUGCAGUGAGCCGAGAGUGUGCCACUUCACUCCAGCCUGGGCAACAGAGUGAGACUCUGUUUCAAAAAUAAAUAAAUAAAUAAAUAAAAUGGUCUUCAUACAGCCUUUGCUGCUAGGAAAUAUAGUUUCUAAUUAAUGUAAUUUUUUGUCAAAUACAAAAUGCUUCUGAACGUUUCUGGUUAUCAAGCUGGUAAUCUUUCACAGUGUCCUCAAUUUUUUUUUCUACUCUCUUACUAGUUCUCCAGAUCACAUGCAGGCUAUUAAGAAAUGUGAACUAACAAGUUAAAGUAGCAGGACGGGCGCUGUGGCUCACACCUAUAAUCCCAGCACUUUGGGAAGCUGAGGCAGGUGGAUCACUUGAGGUCAGGAGUUUGAGAGCAGCCUGGCCAACAAGGUGAAACCACAUCUCUACUAAAAAAAAAAAAAAUUUGCCAGGUGUGGUGGUGCAUACCUGUAAUCCUAGCUAUUUGGGAGGCUGAGGCAUGAGAAUCGCUUGAACCCAGGAGGCAGAGGCUGCGGGGAGCCAGGAUCAUAGCACUGCACUCCAGCCUGGGUGACAGAGCUAGACCCUGUCUGAAAAAAAAAAAAAAUGUUAGUAGCAGCAGAGCACAGUGGCUCAUGCCUGUAAUCCCAACACUAUGGGAGUCUGAGGCGGGAGGAUCUCUUGAGCUUAGGAGUUCAAGACCAGCCUGACAACAUAGUAAGACUCCAUCUCUACAAAUAAUCAUUAAAAAAAUUAGCCGGGCGUAGUGGCACCUACCUGUAGUCCCAGCUACUGGGGAGGCUGAGAUGGGAGGAUCACCUGGGCCUGGGAGGUCAAGGCUGCAGUGAGCUGUGAUCGCCAUUGUACUCCAAACUGGGUGACAAGAGUGAGACCAUGCCUCAAAAAUAAUAAU